UAAUACGUAGGUGGCGAGCGUUAUCCGGAUUUACUGGGCGUAAAGAGGGCGCAGGCGGCUUUUUAAGUCGAAUGUAAAAUCUCCUAGCUUAACUGGGAGGGAUCAUUCGAUACUGUUAAGCUAGAGUGCAACAGGGGGAGGUAGAAUUCCCGGUGUAGUGGUGAAAUGCGUAGAUAUCGGGAGGAAUACCAGUAGCGAAGGCGGCCUCCUGGGUUGUUACUGACGCUUAUGCCCGAAGGCGUGGGGAGCAAACAGGAUUAGAUACCCUGGUAGUCCACGCUGUAAACGAUGGACACUGGGUAUAGGGAGUAUCGACCCUCUCUGUGCCGAAGCUAACGCGUUAAGUGUCCCGCCUGGGAACUACGGCCGCAAGGCUA
Molecule: ribosomal RNA, 377 nt
Filed under: uncultured Chloroflexota bacterium
Lineage: Bacteria; Bacillati; Chloroflexota
Description: bacterial SSU rRNA
Rfam family: Bacterial small subunit ribosomal RNA
Source: RNAcentral